This 449-nucleotide ribosomal RNA is filed under the name uncultured bacterium. RNAcentral describes it as "partial 16S ribosomal RNA". It matches the Rfam family "Bacterial small subunit ribosomal RNA", at positions 29 to 523 of the family's 1533-position model. The record is from RNAcentral.
AACGAGCGCUGGCGGCAUGCCUAACACAUGCAAGUCGAACGAGAUCUUCGGGUCUAGUGGCGCACGGGUGCGUAACGCGUGGGAAUCUGCCCUUUGGUUCGGAAUAACAGUUGGAAACGACUGCUAAUACCGGAUGAUGACGAAAGUCCAAAGAUUUAUCGCCAGAGGAUGAGCCCGCGUAGGAUUAGCUAGGUGGUGUGGUAAAGGCGCACGAAGGCGACGAGCCUUAGCUGGUCUGAGAGGAUGAUCAGCCACACUGGGACUGAGACACGGCCCAGACUCCUACGGGAGGCAGCAGUGGGGAAUAUUGGACAAUGGGCGAAAGCCUGAUCCAGCAAUGCCGCGUGAGUGAUGAAGGCCUUAGGGUUGUAAAGCUCUUUUACCCGGGAUGAUAAUGACAGUACCGGGAGAAUAAGCUCCGGCUAACUCCGUGCCAGCCGCCGCCGUAA